RNAcentral lists this ribosomal RNA (449 nucleotides) under uncultured bacterium. RNAcentral describes it as "bacterial SSU rRNA". It matches the Rfam family "Bacterial small subunit ribosomal RNA", at positions 355 to 796 of the family's 1533-position model. The record is from RNAcentral.
UGGGGAAUAUUGCGCAAUGGGCGAAAGCCUGACGCAGCGACGCCGCGUGGAGGAUGAAGGUCUUAGGAUUGUAAACUCCUGUCAGAUGGGAAGAAAAUAUCAUAUUUAAUAGAUAUGAGGAAUGACGGUACCAUCAGAGGAAGCACCGGCUAACUUCGUGCCAGCAGCCGCGGUAAUACGAAGGGUGCAAACGUUAUUCGGAAUCACUGGGCGUAAAGGGUGCGUAGACGGCAUGUUAAGUUCGUCGUUAAAGGCUCCGGCCUAACCGGAGUACCGCAAUGAAAACUGGCGUACUAGAGGGUGAGAGAGAGAAGUGGAAUUCCUGGAGUAGCGGUAAAAUGCGUGGAUCUCAGGAGGAACACCAAUGGCGAAGGCAGCUUCUUGGCUCAUUCCUGACGUUGAGGCACGAAAGCGUGGGGAGCAAACAGGAUUAGAUACCCGCGUAGUCC